This 293-nucleotide non-coding RNA is filed under the name Bombus consobrinus. Lineage: Eukaryota; Metazoa; Arthropoda; Insecta; Hymenoptera; Apidae. The record is from RNAcentral.
UGUUGAAACGGAUUUACGAGUGGCGAAGAUCGCUGCUAAGGCCAAAUCUUCACCGUUGAAACCUAACCCCAAUCUAGUUUUUACGUUCUUUUAAGAACUCUGUUGCAUUUAGUCAUUGUGAUGUUACAUAUCACAAUGAUGAAGAAAAUUUAUAAUUUUCUAUGUUCCUCUGGUUUUCUCGCCCAGUUCCAGAUGAAAAAUUGCUCGUCUUCAUUAAGACGAGGAGAAGAAGAAGGGUAUUCUCUGUAAGUCCGUUUCUUUUUCUGACCUUUUACAAGGUAACUUGAUUUUUU